Molecule: ribosomal RNA, 548 nt
Filed under: uncultured Glomus
Lineage: Eukaryota; Fungi; Glomeromycota; Glomeromycetes; Glomerales; Glomeraceae
Description: SSU rRNA
Rfam family: Eukaryotic small subunit ribosomal RNA
Source: RNAcentral
UUGGAGGGCAAGUCUGGUGCCAGCAGCCGCGGUAAUUCCAGCUCCAAUAGCGUAUAUUAAAGUUGCUGCAGUUAAAAAGCUCGUAGUUGAAUUUCGGGACCAAUAUGUCGGUCGUGCCUCGGUAUGUACUGGCAUCGUUGGUCUCUCCCUUCUGACGAACCAUGAUGUCAUUUAUUUGGUGUCGUGGGGAAUCAGGACUGUUACUUUGAAAAAAUUAGAGUGUUUAAAGCAGGCUCACGCUUGAAUACAUUAGCAUGGAAUAAUGAAAUAGGACGUUUGAUUCUAUUUUGUUGGUUUCUAGGAUCGACGUAAUGAUUAAUAGGGAUGGUUGGGGGCAUUAGUAUUCAAUUGUCAGAGGUGAAAUUCUUGGAUUUAUUGAAGACUAACUACUGCGAAAGCAUUUGCCAAGGAUGUUUUCAUUAAUCAAGAACGAAAGUUAGGGGAUCGAAGACGAUCAGAUACCGUCGUAGUCUUAACCAUAAACUAUGCCGACUAGGGAUCGGAUGAUGUUAAUUUUUUAAUGACUCAUUCGGCACCUUACGGGAAAC